UACGGAGGGGGCUAGCGUUGUUCGGAAUUACUGGGCGUAAAGGGCGCGCAGGCGGCUUAUUUUGUCAGGCGUGAAAGCCCCGGGCUUAACCUGGGAACUGCGUUUGAUACGGAUGGGCUAGAGUUCGGGAGAGGAGCGUGGAAUUCCCAGUGUAGAGGUGAAAUUCGUAGAUAUUGGGAAGAACACCGGUGGCGAAGGCGGCGCUCUGGACCGAGACUGACGCUGAGGCGCGAAAGCGUGGGGAGCAAACAGG
This 253-nucleotide ribosomal RNA is filed under the name uncultured bacterium. Its description in RNAcentral is "partial 16S ribosomal RNA". It matches the Rfam family "Bacterial small subunit ribosomal RNA", at positions 524 to 776 of the family's 1533-position model. The record is from RNAcentral.